AUGUCAUGAUCGACAAAUACGCC
Molecule: small nuclear RNA, 23 nt
Filed under: Arabidopsis thaliana (thale cress)
Lineage: Eukaryota; Viridiplantae; Streptophyta; Magnoliopsida; Brassicales; Brassicaceae
Description: snRNA_05788
Source: RNAcentral